RNAcentral lists this unclassified non-coding RNA (205 nucleotides) under Hevea brasiliensis (rubber tree). The record is from RNAcentral. Lineage: Eukaryota; Viridiplantae; Streptophyta; Magnoliopsida; Malpighiales; Euphorbiaceae.
CGCCAGGAUGAUGAUCAUUUGAGUACAUAAUGCACUUCAUCUUCGCUGCCACUGCCCCUUGCGGAAGUCGGACUCCAUGAGGGUACAGAGCAUCGACAAAGGUUGAAUUGGGGAAAUAAGAUCUGUUUCGAUGAGUUCUGUCAUUGAGUGAGAAUGAAAUUUUAUUCCCUUUUGGAGUUGAUAAACACACGGGUCGAUCUUUCUG